Molecule: ribosomal RNA, 422 nt
Filed under: uncultured bacterium
Lineage: Bacteria
Description: bacterial SSU rRNA
Rfam family: Bacterial small subunit ribosomal RNA
Source: RNAcentral
UAAGGAAUAUUGGUCAAUGGACGCAAGUCUGAACCAGCCAUGCCGCGUGGAGGAUGAAGGUCCUCUGGAUUGUAAACUUCUUUUAUCUGGGACGAAACACUUCUUUUCUAAGAGGCCUGACGGUACCAGAUGAAUAAGCACCGGCUAACUCCGUGCCAGCAGCCGCGGUAAUACGGAGGGUGCAAGCGUUAUCCGGAUUCACUGGGUUUAAAGGGUGCGUAGGUGGGUAUGUAAGUCAGAGGUGAAAUCCCCGAGCUUAACUUGGGAACUGCCUUUGAUACUAUAUAUCUUGAAUGCCGUAGAGGUAAGCGGAAUAUGUCAUGUAGUGGUGAAAUGCUUAGAUAUGACAUGGAACACCAAUUGCGAAGGCAGCUUACUAUGCGGUUGUUGACACUGAGGCACGAAAGCGUGGGUAGCAAACA